Molecule: ribosomal RNA, 468 nt
Filed under: uncultured bacterium
Lineage: Bacteria
Description: partial 16S ribosomal RNA
Rfam family: Bacterial small subunit ribosomal RNA
Source: RNAcentral
GACGAACGCUGGCGGCGUGCUUAACACAUGCAAGUCGAACGGAAAGGCCCUGCUUUUGUGGGGUGCUCGAGUGGCGAACGGGUGAGUAACACGUGAGUAACCUGCCCUUGACUUUGGGAUAACUUCAGGAAACUGGGGCUAAUACCGGAUAGGAGCUCCUGCUGCAUGGUGGGGGUUGGAAAGUUUCGGCGGUUGUGGAUGGACUCGCGGCUUAUCAGCUUGUUGGUGGGGUAGUGGCUUACCAAGGCUUUGACGGGUAGCCGGCCUGGGAGGGUGACCGGCCACAUGGGGACUGAGAUAGGGCCCAGACGCCUACGGGAGGCAGAAGUGGGGAAUAUGGCACAAUGGGCGGAAGCCUGAUGCAGCAACGCCGCGUGCGGGAUGACGGCCUUCGGGUUGUAAACCGCUUUCGCCUGUGACGAAGCGUGAGUGACGGUAAUGGGUAAAGAAGCACCGGCUAACUACGUG